CAUAAUCAUUAGUUUUUUAAUUGAAAACUUGUAUGAAUGAUUUAACAAAAAAAAUUCUGUCUUUAUGUUUAAAAUUGAAUUUAACUUUUAAGUGAAAAGGCUUAAAUUUUUUAAGAAGACGAUAAGACCCUAUAAAGCUUUAUAAUAAAUUUAUUAUUUUUAUAAAUAGAUUAAAGUAGAAAAAUAUAUUUUAUUAUUGUAUUGGGGCGAUAUAAAUAUAAAUAAAAUAACUGUUUGAAAAAUAAACAUAAGGUUUAUGAUGAGUAAAUGAUCCUAAUAUUUAGAUUAGAAAAAUAAGUUACUUUAGGGAUAACAGCAUAAUUUCUUUUAAGAGUUCAUAUUGAAAAAGAAGUUUGUGACCUCGAUGUUGAAUUAAAAAAUCUUUACAGUGCAGCCGUUGUAAGAAG
Molecule: ribosomal RNA, 407 nt
Filed under: Pelia tumida
Lineage: Eukaryota; Metazoa; Arthropoda; Malacostraca; Decapoda; Epialtidae
Description: partial large subunit ribosomal RNA
Source: RNAcentral